RNAcentral lists this ribosomal RNA (450 nucleotides) under uncultured bacterium. RNAcentral describes it as "bacterial SSU rRNA". It matches the Rfam family "Bacterial small subunit ribosomal RNA", at positions 29 to 523 of the family's 1533-position model. The record is from RNAcentral.
AGCGAACGCUGGCGGCAGGCCUAACACAUGCAAGUCGAACGAACCCUUCGGGGUUAGUGGCGGACGGGUGAGUAACACGUGGGGAACGUACCUUUAGGUUCGGAACAACACAGGGGAAACUUGUGCUAAUGCCGAAUGUGCCCUUCGGGGGAAAGAUUUAUCGCCUUUAGAGCGGCCCGCGUCUGAUUAGCUUGUUGGUGAGGUAAAAGGCUCACCAAGGCUUCGAUCAGUAGCUGGUCUGAGAGGAUGAUCAGCCACACUGGGACUGAGACACGGCCCAGACUCCUACGGAGGCAGCAGUGGGGAAUCUUGCGCAAUGGGCGAAAGCCUGACGCAGCCAUGCCGCGUGAAUGAUGAAGGUCUUAGGAUUGUAAAAUUCUUCACCGGGGAAGAUAAUGACGGUACCCGGAGAAGAAGCCCCGGCUAACUUCGUGCCAGCAGCCGCGGUAA